GUUAGUUUAAUUAAAUAAUAUAAGGUUGUCAAUCUUAAGUUUAAGCAUAUCCCUCAGAUAAGUC
RNAcentral lists this transfer RNA (64 nucleotides) under Trachelipus rathkii. RNAcentral's name for it is "tRNA-Asp". The record is from RNAcentral. Lineage: Eukaryota; Metazoa; Arthropoda; Malacostraca; Isopoda; Trachelipodidae.